AUUGAACGCUGGCGGAAUGCUUUACACAUGCAAGUCGAACGGCAGCACGGGUGCUUGCACCUGGUGGCGAGUGGCGAUCGGGUGAGUAAUACAUCGGAACGUACCCAGUCGUGGGGGAUAACGUAGCGAAAGUUACGCUAAUACCGCAUACGUCCUGAGGGAGAAAGCGGGGGACCGUAAGGCCUCGCGCGAUUGGAGCGGCCGAUGGCGGAUUAGCUAGUUGGUGGGGUAAAGGCCUACCAAGGCGACGAUCCGUAGCGGGUCUGAGAGGACGGCCCGCCACACUGGAACUGAGACACGGUCCAGGCUCCUACGGGAGGCAGCAGUGGGGAAUUUUGGACAUGGGCGAAAGCCUGAUCCAGCCAUUCCGCGUGAGCGAAGAAGGCCUUCGGGUUGUAAAGCUCUUUCGGCAGGGAAGAAACGGCUUGGGAUAAUACCCCGGGCUAAUGACGGUACCUGAAGAAGAAGCACCGGCUAACUACGUGCCAGCCGCCGCGGUAA
RNAcentral lists this ribosomal RNA (501 nucleotides) under uncultured bacterium. Its description in RNAcentral is "partial 16S ribosomal RNA". It matches the Rfam family "Bacterial small subunit ribosomal RNA", at positions 29 to 523 of the family's 1533-position model. The record is from RNAcentral.